GACGAACGCUGGCGGCGUGCUUAACACAUGCAAGUCGAACGGGAACCUUUAUUUCGGUAAAGGUGAGAGUGGCAAACGGGUGAAUAACACGUAGGCAACCUGCCGACAGGAUGGGGACAACAUUCCGAAAGGAAUGCUAAUACCGAAUGGAGUCCGAGGAUGGCAUCAUCCACGGAUCAAAGAUGGCCUCUUAACAAUGCUAUCGCCUGUCGAUGGGCCUGCGUCUGAUUAGCCAGUUGGCGGGGUAACGGCCCACCAAAGCGACGAUCAGUAGCCGGUCUGAGAGGAUGAACGGCCACAUUGGGACUGAGACACGGCCCAGACUCCUACGGGAGGCAGCAGUGGGGAAUCUUCCACAAUGGGCGAAAGCCUGAUGGAGCAACGCCGCGUGAGUGAAG
This 398-nucleotide ribosomal RNA is filed under the name Selenomonas sputigena. RNAcentral's name for it is "bacterial SSU rRNA". It matches the Rfam family "Bacterial small subunit ribosomal RNA", at positions 28 to 410 of the family's 1533-position model. The record is from RNAcentral. Lineage: Bacteria; Bacillati; Bacillota; Negativicutes; Selenomonadales; Selenomonadaceae.